This 724-nucleotide ribosomal RNA is filed under the name uncultured Bacilli bacterium. RNAcentral's name for it is "bacterial SSU rRNA". It matches the Rfam family "Bacterial small subunit ribosomal RNA", at positions 60 to 755 of the family's 1533-position model. The record is from RNAcentral. Lineage: Bacteria; Bacillati; Bacillota; Bacilli.
AGUCGAACGCUUCUUUUUCCACCGGAGCUUGCUCCACCGGAAAAAGAGGAGUGGCGAACGGGUGAGUAACACGUGGGUAACCUGCCCAUCAGAAGGGGAUAACACUUGGAAACAGGUGCUAAUACCGUAUAACAAUCAAAACCGCAUGGUUUUGAUUUGAAAGGCGCUUUCGGGUGUCGCUGAUGGAUGGACCCGCGGUGCAUUAGCUAGUUGGUGAGGUAACGGCUCACCGAGGCCACGAUGCAUAGCCGACCUGAGAGGGUGAUCGGCCACAUUGGGACUGAGACACGGCCCAAACUCCUACGGGAGGCAGCAGUAGGGAAUCUUCGGCAAUGGACGAAAGUCUGACCGAGCAACGCCGCGUGAGUGAAGAAGGUUUUCGGAUCGUAAAACUCUGUUGUUAGAGAAGAACAAGGAUGAGAGUAACUGUUCAUCCCUUGACGGUAUCUAACCAGAAAGCCACGGCUAACUACGUGCCAGCAGCCGCGGUAAUACGUAGGUGGCAAGCGUUGUCCGGAUUUAUUGGGCGUAAAGCGAGCGCAGGCGGUUUCUUAAGUCUGAUGUGAAAGCCCCCGGCUCAACCGGGGAGGGUCAUUGGAAACUGGGAGACUUGAGUGCAGAAGAGGAGAGUGGAAUUCCAUGUGUAGCGGUGAAAUGCGUAGAUAUAUGGAGGAACACCAGUGGCGAAGGCGGCUCUCUGGUCUGUAACUGACGCUGAGGCUCG